GGACAUUGUAGCUCAGUUGGUUAGAGCGCAAGUUUGUGGCACUUGAGGCCGUGGGUUCGAAUCCCAUCAUUGUCCC
RNAcentral lists this transfer RNA (76 nucleotides) under Chitinophagales bacterium. RNAcentral describes it as "tRNA-His". It matches the Rfam family "tRNA". Rfam says of the family: Transfer RNA (tRNA) molecules are approximately 80 nucleotides in length. Their secondary structure includes four short double-helical elements and three loops (D, anti-codon, and T loops). The record is from RNAcentral. Lineage: Bacteria; Pseudomonadati; Bacteroidota; Chitinophagia; Chitinophagales.